This 464-nucleotide ribosomal RNA is filed under the name uncultured Klebsiella sp. Its description in RNAcentral is "bacterial SSU rRNA". It matches the Rfam family "Bacterial small subunit ribosomal RNA", at positions 339 to 795 of the family's 1533-position model. The record is from RNAcentral. Lineage: Bacteria; Pseudomonadati; Pseudomonadota; Gammaproteobacteria; Enterobacterales; Enterobacteriaceae.
CUACGGGUGGCAGCAGUGGGGAAUAUUGCACAAUGGGCGCAAGCCUGAUGCCGCCAUGCCGCGUGUGUGAAGAAGGCCUUCGGGUUGUAAAGCACUUUCAGCGGGGAGGAAGGCGUUAAGGUUAAUAGCCUUGGCGAUUGACGUUACCCGCAGAAGAAGCACCGGCUAACUCCGUGCCAGCAGCCGCGGUAAUACGGAGGGUGCAAGCGUUAAUCGGAAUUACUGGGCGUAAAGCGCACGCAGGCGGUCUGUCAAGUCGGAUGUGAAAUCCCCGGGCUCAACCUGGGAACUGCAUUCGAAACUGGCAGGCUAGAGUCUUGUAGAGGGGGGUAGAAUUCCAGGUGUAGCGGUGAAAUGCGUAGAGAUCUGGAGGAAUACCGGUGGCGAAGGCGGCCCCCUGGACAAAGACUGACGCUCAGGUGCGAAAGCGUGGGGAGCAAACAGGAUUAGAUACCCGUGUAGUC